CCUACGGGAGGCAGCAGUGAGGAAUAUUGGUCAAUGGACGAGAGUCUGAACCAGCCAAGUAGCGUGAAGGAUGACUGCCCUAUGGGUUGUAAACUUCUUUUAUAUGGGAAUAAAAUGUUCCACGUGUGGGAUUUUGUAUGUACCAUAUGAAUAAGGAUCGGCUAACUCCGUGCCAGCAGCCGCGGUAAUACGGAGGAUCCGAGCGUUAUCCGGAUUUAUUGGGUUUAAAGGGAGCGUAGGUGGAUUGUUAAGUCAGUUGUGAAAGUUUGCGGCUCAACCGUAAAAUUGCAGUUGAAACUGGCAGUCGUGAGUACAGUAGAGGUGGGCGGAAGUCGUGGUGUAGCGGUGAAAUGCUUAGACAUCACGAAGAACUCCGAUUGCGAAGGCAGCUCACUGGACUGCAACUGACACUGAGGCUCGAAAGUGUGGGUAUCAAACAGGAUUAGAUACCCUUGUAGUC
RNAcentral lists this ribosomal RNA (460 nucleotides) under uncultured bacterium. RNAcentral describes it as "partial 16S ribosomal RNA". It matches the Rfam family "Bacterial small subunit ribosomal RNA", at positions 338 to 795 of the family's 1533-position model. The record is from RNAcentral.